RNAcentral lists this microRNA (24 nucleotides) under Homo sapiens (human). RNAcentral's name for it is "hsa-miR-6089". The record is from miRBase by way of RNAcentral. Lineage: Eukaryota; Metazoa; Chordata; Mammalia; Primates; Hominidae.
GGAGGCCGGGGUGGGGCGGGGCGG